AUCCUAGCCGUAAACGAUGAUAACUAGGUGUGGGAGGUAUCGACCCCUUCCGCGCCGACGCUAACGCAUUAAGUUAUCCGCCUGGGGAGUACGGCCGCAAGGUUAAAACUCAAAGGAAUUGACGGGGCCCGCACAAGCGGUGGAGCAUGUGGUUUAAUUCGACGCUACGCGAAGAACCUUACCUGGGCUCGAACGACUGGUAGUACCCUAUUUGAAAGGAUGGGGGACCCGCAAGGGAGCCAGCCGAGGUGCUGCAUGGUUGUCGU
RNAcentral lists this ribosomal RNA (266 nucleotides) under uncultured bacterium. RNAcentral describes it as "partial 16S ribosomal RNA". It matches the Rfam family "Bacterial small subunit ribosomal RNA", at positions 793 to 1055 of the family's 1533-position model. The record is from RNAcentral.